This 239-nucleotide unclassified non-coding RNA is filed under the name Hevea brasiliensis (rubber tree). Lineage: Eukaryota; Viridiplantae; Streptophyta; Magnoliopsida; Malpighiales; Euphorbiaceae. The record is from RNAcentral.
UGUUUUUAUUUUUCUUUCUUUUCAUCAACAAUAAUCUCUGAAUCUUCAGUUUCAUCCAUGGAUACUGCUCAGUGGCCACAGGAGAUAAUGGUGAAACCAAUAGAAGAGAUAGUCACAAAUACAUGCCCAAAGCCUGCAGCUUUGGAGAGGAAGGCCAGACCUCAAAAAGAGCAAGCCUUGAACUGUCCAAGGUGCAAUUCAACCAACACUAAGUUCUGUUACUAUAACAACUACAGUCU